Molecule: ribosomal RNA, 301 nt
Filed under: uncultured bacterium
Lineage: Bacteria
Description: partial 16S ribosomal RNA
Rfam family: Bacterial small subunit ribosomal RNA
Source: RNAcentral
CAGCCGCCGCGGGAAUACGAAGGGUGCAAGCGUUACUCGGAAUUACUGGGCGUAAAGCGUGCGUAGGUGGUGGUUUAAGUCCGUUGUGAAAGCCCUGGGCUCAACCUGGGAAUUGCAGUGGAUACUGGAUCACUAGAGUGUGGUAGAGGAUAGUGGAAUUUCCGGUGUAGCAGUGAAAUGCGUUGAGAUCGGAAAGAACACAAAUGGCGAAAGCACUCUGCUGGGCCGACACUGACACUGAGAGACGAAAGCUAGGGGAGCAAAUGGGAUUAGAUACCCGUGUAGUCCCUGUCUCUUAUAC